GAACGGGUGUACGGGAUGGAAGAUUUCGGUCGGAAGCCCCGUGCAUGAGUGGCGGACGGGUGAGUAACGCGUGGGCAACCUGCCCUGUACAGGGGGACAACACUUAGAAAUAGGUGCUAAUACCGCAUAACGGGGGGAGCCGCAUGGCUUUCCCCUGAAAACUCCGGUGGUACAGGAUGGGCCCGCGUCUGAUUAGCUGGUUGGCAGGGUAACGGCCUACCGAGGCGACGAUCAGUAGCCGGCCUGAGAGGGCGGACGGCCACACUGGGACUGAGACACGGCCCAGACUCCUACGGGAGGCAGCAGUGGGGGAUAUUGCACAAUGGGGGGAACCCUGAUGCAGCGACGCCGCGUGGGUGAAGGAGCGUUUCGGCGCGUAAAGCCCUAUCGGCAGGGAAGAAGGAGGACGGUACCUGACUAAGAAGCCCCGGCUAACUACGUGCCAGCAGCCGCGGUAAUACGUAGGGGGCAAGCGUUAUCCGGAUUUACUGGGUGUAAAGGGGGCGCAGACGGCAGCGCAAGCCAGGAGUGAAAGCCCGGGGCCCAACCCCGGGACUGCUCUUGGAACUGCGCGGCUGGAGUGCAGGAGGGGCAGGCGGAAUUCCUGGUGUAGCGGUGAAAUGCGUAGA
This 629-nucleotide ribosomal RNA is filed under the name uncultured bacterium. RNAcentral describes it as "bacterial SSU rRNA". It matches the Rfam family "Bacterial small subunit ribosomal RNA", at positions 49 to 694 of the family's 1533-position model. The record is from RNAcentral.